CCUACGGGUGGCAGCAGUGAGGAAUAUUGGUCAAUGGACGAGAGUCUGAACCAGCCAAGUAGCGUGAAGGAUGACUGCCCUAUGGGUUGUAAACUUCUUUUAUAAAGGAAUAAAACGAGGCACGUGUGCCUUUUUGCAUGUACUUUAUGAAUAAGGAUCGGCUAACUCCGGGCCAGCAGCCGCGGUAAUACGGAGGAUCCGAGCGUUAUCCGGAUUUAUUGGGUUUAAAGGGAGCGUAGAUGGGUUGUUAAGUCAGUUGUGAAAGUUUGCGGCUCAACCGUAAAAUUGCAAUUGAUACUGGCAGUCUUGAGUACAGUUGAGGUAAGCGGAAUUCGUGGUGUAGCGGUGAAAUGCGUAGAUAUCACGAAGAACCCCGAUUGCGAAGGCAGCUUACUAAACUGUGACUGACAUUGAUGCUCGAAAGUGUGGGUAGCAAACAGGAUUAGAUACCCUUGUAGUC
RNAcentral lists this ribosomal RNA (460 nucleotides) under uncultured bacterium. Its description in RNAcentral is "partial 16S ribosomal RNA". It matches the Rfam family "Bacterial small subunit ribosomal RNA", at positions 338 to 795 of the family's 1533-position model. The record is from RNAcentral.